AGAACUUAGCAGAGAUGCUUUGGUGCCUUCGGGAACUCUGAGACAGGUGCUGCAUGGCUGUCGUCAGCUCGUGUUGUGAAAUGUUGGGUUAAGUCCCGCAACGAGCGCAACCCUUAUCCUUUGUUGCCAGCGGCUCGGCCGGGAACUCAAAGGAGACUGCCGGUGAUAAACCGGAGGAAGGUGGGGAUGACGUCAAGUCAUCAUGGCCCUUACGGCCAGGGCUACACACGUGCUACAAUGGCGCAUGCAAAGAGAAGCGACCUCGCGAGAGCAAGCGGACCUCAUAAAGUGCGUCGUAGUCCGGAUUGGAGUCUGCAACUCGACUCCAUGAAGUCGGAAUCGCUAGUAAUCGUAGAUCAGAAUGCUACGGUGAAUACGUUCCCGGGCCUUGUACACACCGCCCGUCACACCAUGGGAGUGGGUUGCAAAAGAAGUAGGUAGCUUAACCUUCGGGAGGGCGCUUACCACUUUGUGAUUCAUGACUGGGGUGAAGUCGUAACAAGGUAGGCGUAGCGAG
RNAcentral lists this ribosomal RNA (517 nucleotides) under uncultured bacterium. RNAcentral describes it as "bacterial SSU rRNA". It matches the Rfam family "Bacterial small subunit ribosomal RNA", at positions 992 to 1509 of the family's 1533-position model. The record is from RNAcentral.